AUUAGAAAAAAAUCCUGAACAAGCUACAUUGAUUCAAUUUUCGUUGUUCGUUUUGUUCUUAUUCGCUGACAUUUGUUUUCCAAUUGCGUGAAAUUUGGUCAUUUCCUUAGUGUUUCGCUGACCGACCUGUGCUGGUAUUGUGAUUAAGAGCUAAUACACAUUUUUCGGACGAUUCUGCUGUGCUGCGUUCCUGCUCCGCCUGUAUAUUGCUCCGCCCGUAUUUUAUAGUGUUGCGUUCCUGUUGCGCCUUUGCAUUAGUGUGUGCGUUGUGAUUUAGACACGUUGAAAUUUUUUGUAUGCUUCUGCUGUGCUGCGUUCCUGCUCCACCCGUGUAUUAGAUUGCUGCGUUCCUGUUAACAUACAUAUCGUCGCUUAAAGUACAAAACCGCGUAACUGACAUUUGCUGCUAAAAAUUGGAUUCGCUCACACACGUUUUUGGAUCAAUCCUUAUCCAUUCUUCCUGAAAUAUACUAGCCAAAAAUGCGAUUGCUUUUUACAAAAAGAUAACCAUUUUGAAAUAUGAAUGUUUUUACUCUCUAGAAAUUAAUUUAUGCAACCUCGCAUACGUGGGUUUGCAUUAUCUCUAUACGCGGUUUUGCAAUUUAUUGAUACAUGGUUUUUUACUUUA
Rhagoletis zephyria (snowberry fruit fly) is the source of this 628-nucleotide long non-coding RNA. RefSeq lists it as uncharacterized. The record is from RefSeq and is a predicted model, not a curated record. NCBI's taxonomy places the organism in Eukaryota, Metazoa, Arthropoda, Insecta, Diptera, Tephritidae.